GUGCUUGCUUCAGCAGCACAUAUACUAAAAUCGGAACAAUACAGAGAAGAUUAGCCUGACCUCUGCACAAGAAUGACAGGCAAAUUUGUGAAGCGUUCCAUAUUUUC
Molecule: small nuclear RNA, 107 nt
Organism: Molossus molossus (Pallas's mastiff bat)
Lineage: Eukaryota; Metazoa; Chordata; Mammalia; Chiroptera; Molossidae
Source: RefSeq, a predicted model, not a curated record